AAAAUCAGCCACUAAAAUUGCAGUAAUCAACCAUGUCAACAACAUGUGGGUCCCACUAGAAAAAAAAAUUAUACUAAUGAGCUUCGUUACUUUACUUAAAGAUGAUACCCAAUUGGUCUAUGUUAUAAUGAAGGUCGUGUAUAUCUAAUGGGCUUCGUGAGUCAAAAUAAAAAAGUCAUCGAUUUUCUUUUGCGAUUAGAUUUUCUAUGUAAAGCCUAUAUGGUUAAGCAUCGUCGUCGAAGUGGAGAUAGGGUUUUCUUCAUAGCUUCAGACAAAUCUGGAAAACUCAGCUCACCCUUUGUCAAGUUGACAUCUGUCAUCGUGUUUUUUUUUUUUAUGUUUUAGACGAUAUGUCAAUGAGUUUGAAUUACGAUUAAUGUUUGGCCCAAACUUUAACUUACACAUAGGCCCAUAUCAGAAAACUUAAUUGAGCUUGAAGUUACGGUGGAUUCGUGGAGAGCAUGAGAUUUGCAUUAACAUCGUCCUCUCCACUUCCUGCCGGGAGUAACUGACCUCAAUUAUGCUUCCCAAUAAAUUAUCCCCACUAGGUCCUAUUGAAUGGAGAUCCUUUGGUUUCUCUGCUAAGCGUAUUUUCUGUAUAUAUAUAUAUAUAUAUAUCGUCCUCUUCCUUCAGAUGAGAUUCAUGCUUUUAGAUUCUCUAUACCACACGAUACCUAGCCAAACUGAAACUCACUGUGAUGAUGAUUUUCCAAAUCUACUUUUCCGAUCUGGAGGUGGGGCGUUGUAAGGAGACUAGCAAUCUGCAGAAGGUAGGCGAGCUAAUUGGGGUAAACAUGGUGUUACUGGACAAGAAGGCUGAUGUUGAUGGGAACAGGACAAACUGCCUAAAUCGAGCACAUUGCUGCAACAAUGCUUGAAAGUAAUGAGAAUCAUCAUGAAGUUGGUCAGCAGGGGAAGGAUCCUGUCAACGAGUCUGAUGUGGAGUUAGCUUAUGUAAGAGUCUGAGAUGGUUCUAGGAGAUGGAAGGGGAAGAAGGAAUAAGGAAUAAUCAGGUGUGAGCUGGAGAGGCUGCACAGGUAGUUAACGGAGCACAUGGGCUGUUUGCUCAAGUGGCGAGUCUUAUAUAUAUUGACUGAGGAAUGUUGUGAGGGUUAUAAAUAGAUUUGAUCAAAGUUGAAAGGGAGGAGAGAGACUCCCAAUAUUAAUUCUCUCAAAUCAUGUAUACAGUUUUAUCAGAUCUAUACAAUCAUCAUUUCUCAGAAUAUCUCAUAACAGCCUUCCAACAUUUUGACAAAGACAGCAGCAGAACGUUUGUGUACAUUCCAAUAGACUAAUUAGAAGCUGCACUGAAGGAAUAUGGAAUGGGAGAUGAUGCAACAACCAAAGAGGUUUCCUCAUACGACGAUUCAUAUAACGUAAGCAAAAACAAUUUACCAUAUCAUCUCUGGCUGUCGUAUUUAAAGAAUGUAUUUUCCCAUUUAAGAGUUCUUCUCACGACUGAGCUUCACUGCGCAUCAUCCAUUUUUAAAGUGUUGUUGUCGUAUUAUUUACACUCAGUGAAAAAACAACACGAAUCAGUUUUGAUGUUAAUCUGUGAUACAAAAACCAUUGGCUGAUUAUUAUAUCACGGGAAGAGACAUGUCUACCAAUAAUAAGCACUUCAGAUAGUGUUUCAAAACAUAAUACUAUUGAUUACUUAGGAGUAAGAAGACAGGGAAUUAAGAGAUACCUAAGAAUUGGUUUUAGGUUAUAUAUAAUGCAAAUUGUUAUUGAACAAAAUAGUUGGUAAUAAUAUAAACAGAAUUUGAUAUAUAAUUUGUUUUAUUUGUUUAUAGCAUAACUUCAGUGGAAGUGAUGGAUGUUGAUAAUACUAUCAUAAAAGAUGUUAGCUGAUUAUAAGACUUGAUCAAAUAUUUGGAAUAAAGUGUGGUAAUUCAUCUUAGUGACGUUUUUGAGUUGUAACUUCAAAAUUUGAAAUAUAGUUACUAUUAUUUGUGAUACUUCUUUUGAUUCGUUUGUGAUAUGUAGAACAAGAGUAACAUAGUAAAAUUUAGAUUCUCGCAUAGUAUUACAGAUAGAAAGAGGAUCAGUCACAUAGUUGAACGCAAAUAAAUCUACAAAACAUAUUAUAAACAUUUUAAAGUAUUGAUCAGAAUUAUAUAAAUGAUCGUCCAAGCGAGCUGUGAAUCAAUAAGUUUUAAUCGUUUUAUCAAUGGUUUACGAAGAAAACCUUAAUUCUAUUUAGGGUUUUCAAAUUGAAUUUGGAUACAUUUGAGCUUGCUUUUUUUUGUUUGAAUCCAAUAUGUAGAGCAGAAUCAGAGUUAGAAAGAAUAAAAUUUUCAUUUUUAUAUUUUGAACAUAUAUUCUUUACUAAGACUAUAAAAUGAAUUGUAAAUUCAUGUAAGAAUUAAACAUAUGAACCCGGCGCGUAGCGCCGGAAUACCACUAGU
Brassica napus (rape) is the source of this 2411-nucleotide long non-coding RNA. RefSeq lists it as uncharacterized. The record is from RefSeq and is a predicted model, not a curated record. The transcript is spliced from 3 exons. NCBI's taxonomy places the organism in Eukaryota, Viridiplantae, Streptophyta, Magnoliopsida, Brassicales, Brassicaceae.